AAUUAGAAGAGUGUCUCGUAGCUCCUGCCUUGCACGCAGGAGGUCAACGGUUCGACUCCGUUAUUCUCCA
This 70-nucleotide transfer RNA is filed under the name Flavobacterium psychrophilum. RNAcentral describes it as "tRNA-Ala (TGC) (tRNA-Ala-TGC-1-1)". It matches the Rfam family "tRNA". Rfam says of the family: Transfer RNA (tRNA) molecules are approximately 80 nucleotides in length. Lineage: Bacteria; Pseudomonadati; Bacteroidota; Flavobacteriia; Flavobacteriales; Flavobacteriaceae. The record is from RNAcentral.